RNAcentral lists this ribosomal RNA (253 nucleotides) under uncultured bacterium. RNAcentral's name for it is "partial 16S ribosomal RNA". It matches the Rfam family "Bacterial small subunit ribosomal RNA", at positions 524 to 776 of the family's 1533-position model. The record is from RNAcentral.
GACGAACCGUGCGAACGUUGUUCGGAAUCACUGGGCUUAAAGGGCGCGUAGGCGGUCUGCCAAGUCGGUGGUGAAAUCUUUCGGCUUAACCGGAAAAGUGCCAACGAUACUGGCGGACUUGAGGGAGGUAGGGGCAGAUGGAACUUCCGGUGGAGCGGUGAAAUGUGUUGAUAUCGGAAGGAACGCCGGUGGCGAAAGCGAUCUGCUGGAUCUCUACUGACGCUGAGGCGCGAAAGCCAGGGGAGCAAACGGG